CCAGACUCCUACGGGAGGCAGCAGUGAGGAAUAUUGGUCAAUGGGCGGGAGCCUGAACCAGCCAAGCCGCGUGAAGGAAGAAGGCGCCAGGCGUCGUAAACUUCUUUUGUCGGGGAACAAAGGGCGCCACGCGUGGCGUCGUGAGUGUACCCGAAGAAAAAGCAUCGGCUAACUCCGUGCCAGCAGCCGCGGUAAUACGGAGGAUGCGAGCGUUAUCCGGAUUUAUUGGGUUUAAAGGGUGCGUAGGCGGCCCGGAAGGACAGCGGAAAACGCCCGGGGCUCACCCCCGGCGAGCCGUUGAAACUGUCGGACUAGAGACGGCGAGAAGUACGCGGAAUGCGCGGUGUAGCGGUGAAAUGCAUAGAUAUCGCGCAGAACUCCGAUUGCGAAGGCAGCGUACCGGCGCCGGACUGACGCUGAGGCACGAAAGCGUGGGGAGCAAACAGGAUUAGAUACCCCCGUA
This 463-nucleotide ribosomal RNA is filed under the name uncultured bacterium. RNAcentral's name for it is "bacterial SSU rRNA". It matches the Rfam family "Bacterial small subunit ribosomal RNA", at positions 331 to 792 of the family's 1533-position model. The record is from RNAcentral.